Molecule: RNase P RNA, 358 nt
Filed under: Oscillospiraceae bacterium
Lineage: Bacteria; Bacillati; Bacillota; Clostridia; Eubacteriales; Oscillospiraceae
Description: RNase P RNA component class A
Rfam family: Bacterial RNase P class A
About the family: Ribonuclease P (RNase P) is a ubiquitous endoribonuclease, found in archaea, bacteria and eukarya as well as chloroplasts and mitochondria. Its best characterised activity is the generation of mature 5'-ends of tRNAs by cleaving the 5'-leader elements of precursor-tRNAs.
Source: RNAcentral
CAAGUAAGCCAGACAGCCGCGGGGGUGCGCCGAAAGGUGCCCUUUGAGGAAAGUCCGGGCUCCGCAGGGCAAGGAUAACGGGUAACGCCCGCCGAAGGCGACUUCAGGACAAGUGCAACAGAGAUAUACCGCCGGGGGGAAGCACUUCCCCCGGUAAGGGUGGAAAGGCGAGGUAAGAGCUCACCCGGGGGCACGGUAACAUGCCCCCGCUGUAAACUCUAUCCGGAGCAACACCGUGAAAGGGGAGCAUACGGCUUGCCCGGCCGCUCCCUAGAGGUGGCAUGAACCGUCCGGCGACAGGCGGUCAAGAUAGAUGGCUGUUCAACGACAGAAUCCGGCUUACCGGCUUGCUUGCGAU